This is a transfer RNA of 72 nucleotides. It matches the Rfam family "tRNA". Rfam says of the family: Transfer RNA (tRNA) molecules are approximately 80 nucleotides in length. Their secondary structure includes four short double-helical elements and three loops (D, anti-codon, and T loops). The record is from Rfam.
GCACUAGUGGUGUAAUGGUUAUCAUCGUUGCCUUCCAAGCAAUGGAUCCGCGUUCGAUUCGCGGCUAGUGCA